AGGACGAACGCUGGCGGCGUGCUUAACACAUGCAAGUCGAACGGAAAGGCCCUUCGGGGUACUCGAGUGGCGAACGGGUGAGUAACACGUGGGUGAUCUGCCCUGCACUCUGGGAUAAGCCUGGGAAACUGGGUCUAAUACCGGAUAUACCUCAUGGACUGCAUGGUUUGUGGGGGAAAGCUUUUGCGGUGUGGGAUGGGCCCGCGGCCUAUCAGCUUGUUGGUGAGGUUAUGGCUCACCAAGGCGACGACGGGUAGCCGGCCUGAGAGGGUGACCGGCCACACUGGGACUGAGAUACGGCCCAGACUCCUACGGGAGGCAGCAGUGGGGAAUAUUGCACAAUGGGCGCAAGCCUGAUGCAGCGACGCCGCGUGAGGGAUGACGGCCUUCGGGUUGUAAACCUCUUUCAGCAGGGACGAAGCGCAAGUGACGGUACCUGUAGAAGAAGGACCGGCAACUACGUGCCAGCAGCCGC
RNAcentral lists this ribosomal RNA (475 nucleotides) under uncultured bacterium. Its description in RNAcentral is "SSU rRNA". It matches the Rfam family "Bacterial small subunit ribosomal RNA", at positions 26 to 518 of the family's 1533-position model. The record is from RNAcentral.